Molecule: long non-coding RNA, 604 nt
Organism: Tympanuchus pallidicinctus (lesser prairie-chicken)
Lineage: Eukaryota; Metazoa; Chordata; Aves; Galliformes; Phasianidae
Exons: 2
Source: RefSeq, a predicted model, not a curated record
CAGUAUAUUUAAGAAGGGAAUGAUUGUUCUGCAUAGGGUAUGGAGCUGCCUAUGAGCAGAAACUAAUCAGCAUUUCAAGAACCACCUGCAUGAAGUCCUUGCUGCAGCAGGAAGUACAACAAUCCUAAUCAUUUUUCUUCAGUAAGUGUAGAAGAAUUGCCAAUGAUUAAGCAGUAGGUGAGAGAAUGUGUGGCUAAUCCAUGGAGCUCAGGUGCAAGCAAAUGCCUGGCUCCACCCUUCCUCACCCUCACUUAUUAGCAGCUGAGGGAGCAGUAUUCUUCUGGGUAGAGAUUACAUUUCUCUGGAGCUGUCACUGGUUAUUAGAAGAGGAGGCGAAGAGGGGCUAUUGAAAGUGUGCAGUCAAAUGUGAGGAAGAAACCUUUUCAGAUGACAAUUGAAUCUUGAUACCACAAGUGUCUGAAUAUGAAGUGUCCACUUCAAAAAGUUACAAUGGAAAAGCUAAUCUCAUGUCUUUUUUUUGUCCUCAAAAAUAUUUGGAGUGGUAUUUGUUAAUUCCUGAUACCUCUUUCCAUCUCUCUCGUAUGUUUAUAUAUAGAUGAAUGUGUGAGUUUGGUUUUCAAAAUCAUUUCAGAUUCAGUUUUUU